Molecule: long non-coding RNA, 971 nt
Filed under: Amphibalanus amphitrite
Lineage: Eukaryota; Metazoa; Arthropoda; Thecostraca; Balanomorpha; Balanidae
Description: uncharacterized LOC122379666, transcript variant X1
Source: RNAcentral
GAAAUUACAAACAUUUGGCCUUGUCGCCAUCUUUGCUGCAUUUUGUGUGUUGCGGCGGACGCGUGGUAUUGCCGGUUCUGGGCUGCAUGGAUUCGAAGAGGGCUGAGCUUGAUGAAGCGAUGUCGAAGACGUUUGCGGACAGAAGGAUCCUGGUGGUGACGAAGAGGCUAUCCGUACCCAAGCUGAAGAAGCUCUACCCUGCCCUCUUUCAGGAAAUGGAGAUCUGGGCGGAGCUUGCCCGAAUCAGGGGCGGUUGAUCGACCAAGGAGAAUGAGCUGGAGAGGGCGCGUGAGAACCUUUCCAAGGUGCUCACAAAGUUCCAAGUCUGUGAAACGAAUGAAGCUGCGCUGGAGCAUCUCCUCAUCGAACUUCGCGAGGAAGACGCUCUUUACGCGGCACCGACGGCCGGAGGUCCAAUGGUUAUAUGGCGUGAUGCCAUCUGGGUCGAGGGAGAGAAGGUAGCUGAUUUUGAGAUACUGAACAAGAUCGACCAGUUCCUCACAUGGGAUGCUGCGUUCUCGGUGUUCGCUCAAAAGCCGACCAAGAAAAGCACGCGGUGCUCCGCAUACCUGGCAACCGUUAUGGUUCUCCAAACAGACGUGCUGAAGCCCCCGAAAGGCCUGGAGCGUAUCACUCAGUAAGCGUCAAGCUCAGUAGAUUCGUGUCGCCUGACUGUCCAUCUGAGGCCCGACUGAGUCGGGUAAGACUUACCUUUUUCCGUCUUGCGGAACUUCUUCACUGUCAGUGGGCCGAGAUAGUCGUGUGUUGAAAGGUCGUCUCAUGUCGACUCUCGCCUCUGGCAGGUCAGCCAUCCUGGGUAGCUGAGGGGUGGCUCUGCGGUUGCGGCAGAACGCACACUUCUGUUGACACACUUCUGUUCACACUUCUGUUGACACGAAAUGACAACAGAUGUGCUGUCAUUUCGGUUUGUGUCGUGUUUUUUUUUUUAAUAAAGUCGUUCGCCAAAAACA